RNAcentral lists this ribosomal RNA (670 nucleotides) under uncultured Bacteroidales bacterium. RNAcentral describes it as "bacterial SSU rRNA". It matches the Rfam family "Bacterial small subunit ribosomal RNA", at positions 69 to 732 of the family's 1533-position model. Lineage: Bacteria; Pseudomonadati; Bacteroidota; Bacteroidia; Bacteroidales. The record is from RNAcentral.
GCAUGGUCUUAGCUUGCUAAGGCCGAUGGCGACCGGCGCACGGGUGAGUAACACGUAUCCAACCUGCCGUCUACUCUUGGACAGCCUUCUGAAAGGAAGAUUAAUACAAGAUGGCAUCAUGAGUCCGCAUGUUCACAUGAUUAAAGGUAUUCCGGUAGACGAUGGGGAUGCGUUCCAUUAGAUAGUAGGCGGGGUAACGGCCCACCUAGUCUUCGAUGGAUAGGGGUUCUGAGAGGAAGGUCCCCCACAUUGGAACUGAGACACGGUCCAAACUCCUACGGGAGGCAGCAGUGAGGAAUAUUGGUCAAUGGGCGAGAGCCUGAACCAGCCAAGUAGCGUGAAGGAUGACUGCCCUAUGGGUUGUAAACUUCUUUUAUAAAGGAAUAAAGUCGGGUAUGGAUACCCGUUUGCAUGUACUUUAUGAAUAAGGAUCGGCUAACUCCGUGCCAGCAGCCGCGGUAAUACGGAGGAUCCGAGCGUUAUCCGGAUUUAUUGGGUUUAAAGGGAGCGUAGAUGGAUGUUUAAGUCAGUUGUGAAAGUUUGCGGCUCAACCGUAAAAUUGCAGUUGAUACUGGAUAUCUUGAGUGCAGUUGAGGCAGGCGGAAUUCGUGGUGUAGCGGUGAAUGCUUAGAUAUCACGAAGAACUCCGAUUGCGAAGGCAGCCUGCUAA